Molecule: transfer RNA, 80 nt
Filed under: Pleodorina starrii
Lineage: Eukaryota; Viridiplantae; Chlorophyta; Chlorophyceae; Chlamydomonadales; Volvocaceae
Description: tRNA-Trp
Source: RNAcentral
GCCCGGUUAGCCCGGAUUCGUAGCGCAGCCAUAGGCUCCAAGGCACCUUGUGGUCGUGGGUUCGAGCCCCAGAUUGGGCG